GUCGUCCUGACCAAUGAAAUAGCUCCACUAUAAUCAAAUAUGGGUACAAGAGUCUCAAAAGCUUAUGCACAAACAGUGCCAACAACUGGUCAAACCAACAAAGCUUACAAAUGAGAACAAGAAAGAUGAAAAUACCCUAAAAAUUUUGAUUCAGUGCGAGACAGAUAUCUCUCUGUUCAUACCUCCUUUUGACAAUCUGAACAAUGAAAAGGAAGACCUAUUGUUGCAAACUUGCUCUCCAAGAACCAGCCCGAUCCAACCAUUAACGAAUCCGCAAUCAUUGCGUUUUACUAAGAAAGACAUGAGAAAUUCUGGGUUGACUUUUACUCUUCUUUUCUCUUUUUUGGUGGCUACUUUUCUCACAUAAAAACUUUGUUCUCAACCCUAAUAUGACAUCUCUCCACUUAUAUAAGUGAGACAUAAUAGGCUAACAUGUUUAGGCUUUUCUCCAUGCAGCAAGUAGCCCAAAACCCAACAAAUAUGCCAUGAGCAAAUGAUCCUGAAAACAAUGAAACACUCUUGUCAGGCCAAAAACUCUUGAGAAAAUGCGUUCUUAAACACAGAACAUAGCAAGCUGUUCUUACGGCCAAGAUAACUAUUUUCAUAAUUGUUGAACAGAAUAAAAGCCCCUACAAUCUAUUAAACUUAUUCAAUGAUCAUAGUAGUCUACUACAACAAAACCCCAAAACAUCAUCAAUGUAUUUGUAGUUGUCAUCAAUCAAGGUCAAUAUAUGUGCCAUUGAUGCUUCCAUCGCUUCUAAAUCAGAUGGGAUUUUGUCAACAGUGGUCAAAUUCAGAUUAUCAACUAUAAAUGCAAGAAGUAAAUACACAAUUAGGAUUUCAAUCAUUCAAGUCAAAGAACAUUCUUGUUCCAUUAUAGGAAACUCAAAGCAACAAACAAAUUAUAUAGUGAUACAACACUGAUGGUACUUGGAGGCUUUCUUCCAUGAAAAAAUGAUACAUAAAUAUAAAUCAGUUAGUAAACAAUAUCGAUAUGAUAUUUAGAUGCAAUCUGUUCGGCAUGAACUAAGCCACUCUCUCAACUAAGAGGCAUUGUUCUGUAGACCCAAAGACACUUCUAUAAAGGAAGAAAAUUAUUAACUCAGAGAACACAAAAUGCAGUUAUGAAAUCAUCCUUAAAAUAGAGAAAUGAUAUUUGUAACAUCAUUUUGGAACAACUUUUAGAUAAUUCUCUCUCAUACACUCGUUGUGUUCUUACCCUCUUCCUCUCUAUUGUUUUUAUCCCAAAAAUUGUAACAAAAUGGUUGCACGAGUAUCUCAAAACCUCUUUUAAAGAGACCAGAUGUCAUACUCUUAAACCAUUUAGGGGAAAAACACCUAAUUUCUAAAGCAACAUUUAUCUGAAGAAAUAUCCUAAAAUAUGUGGGAGCUAUAUUCCAUCCAAAUGUACCAUAUUGCAGCAAACUCGGCUUCUUGACAUAAGAAAUUGGAUACCUUCCAAAGGCAAUUAAACAAGUCAUAAAAAAUGGUCCAAAGACCUGGGACAAACCCAAACAUGUUACUCGGGAUCAUCUUGAUGAUCUCAGCCAUCAAAGUUAAGACUGCAGAUGAUCUAAGUCUUAUCACUCACAAGAAAAUAAACCUCCAGGUUUUCAGGGAAUCAUCAUUUGGUACGGGAUAAGGCAAUAUCAUGCAGGUUUUCCCAAAUACCCGGACACAGUUUUGGUUAUGGUCAAGGAGCAAACAUUCUAUGUGGUUAAGAAAAAAGAUAGAACAAUUAUACUUAGCAGCCAUUUCCAUUAAAAAAACUACUUAGGGAAAGAAAGAGUUGUUUAGGAUGAAAGUGAGAGUUCAGAUCUAGAAUAUAUUAUGCCGAAAUUGUUAUGGUUUAAUCCUAACUUUCAACAUGUUGCCUAGUGUAAAUGUUCAAUCUGAUCAGACAUGGAAUUUCAUUUCCUGAAUACAUUUACAAGUUCCAAAUUGAGUGAGGGUUGUAACUGGAUCAAUAUCAGAACGUUCAAAUCAAGUUGGAUAUUUAUUUCCUAUUCAAGAGCAAGUAGUUGGAUCUUUAUCCCCAUCUCUUAGCCUUGGUCUAUUUGAAAUUGUUGUCAUGGGUAGAAAUGAUGAUGGUUAUCAAGUUGAUUUUGAUACACAAAGUUGGGUCGAGGAUACGGUAAUUGGAUAUAAAGUGAAGCCGGACUAAUAAUACCAAUAUUAAAGAAACAUUAUUAGCAAACAUGGAGAUAUUGCUAAUAAUUGUGUGACAGAGCAGUGAAAGAUAAGAAUAUAUGGUUGGAGAUAAUUUGUAGAGUUAUGUUGUACUUUGUAACGAACGACUUAAGAAAUUUCAAGAAAAGUGACUUGAGAAACAAGAUUUCUCUUGUUAACGGAAUUCAAAAUAUGAACGUCAACAUUGAAUGACUCGGCCUAGUGUUAAAUCUAUUACUUGAAGCAAGAGUUACUUACUAUGGAUAAUUUUGAUGAGAUAAGGAAGGACAAUGGCAAUGGUAGCAAACAAAUUGAAAGUUUUAAAAGUAAAUUGAGAAAAUGUGAAGAAAAGGUAAAGGGAUUGUCCGAUCAAAUGAAAAAAGUAUGUGAUGAAGAGACAACAAAAAAUGAGUGUAUAUAGACUCAUUCUUUGCUGUGACAAAACUGCCUUUGUAAAUUCAUCACAUACUUUUUUCAUUUGAUCGGACAGUACCUUUACCUUUUUUUUCACAUUCUUUCAAUUUACUUCAACAUUCUUUCAGUUUACUUCCACAGUAACACCUGCUUCAAACAACUAAUCUAGUCUAGUGUUGAGUCAUUCCACAAUUACGUUCAUAUUUUGAAUCCGUUAACACGAGAUAUCUUGCUUCUCAUGUCUCUCUUUUUUUUUUAAUUUUCAAAGUCAUUCUUUACAAAAUAAAACACAACUAUACAAAUUACCUCCAACUAUAUAUUCCUGACUUUCACUAACUCUGAC
RNAcentral lists this long non-coding RNA (2926 nucleotides) under Medicago truncatula (barrel medic). Its description in RNAcentral is "long non-coding RNA (MTRU_LNC003569)". Lineage: Eukaryota; Viridiplantae; Streptophyta; Magnoliopsida; Fabales; Fabaceae. The record is from RNAcentral.